This 301-nucleotide ribosomal RNA is filed under the name uncultured bacterium. RNAcentral describes it as "partial 16S ribosomal RNA". It matches the Rfam family "Bacterial small subunit ribosomal RNA", at positions 509 to 807 of the family's 1533-position model. The record is from RNAcentral.
CAGCCGCCGCGGGAAUACGUAGGGUGCGAGCGUUAAUCGGAAUUACUGGGCGUAAAGCGUGCGCAGGCGGUUUUGUAAGACAGGCGUGAAAUCCCCGGGCUCAACCUGGGAAUGGUGCUUGUGACUGCAAAGCUAGAGUGCGGCAGAGGGGGAUGGAAUUCCGCGUGUAGCAGUGAAAUGCGUAGAUAUGCGGAGGAACACCGAUGGCGAAGGCAAUCCCCUGGGCCUGCACUGACGCUCAUGCACGAAAGCGUGGGGAGCAAACAGGAUUAGAUACCCCCGUAGUCCCUGUCUCUUAUAC